GUUUAGAAUGUUUUUCCCUAUAAUCUUUGAAGAGCUGCCUCUUUCUCAUAGUUCACAUUCUACUAAACAACCUGCUUUCUCAGUUACCUUCCCUGACCAUCCCAUGUAAAGUAGUGUCUGUCCCCUGCUCUCAUCCCAAGGCAGUUCCUAUCACAUCCUAUUUUGUUAUUUUUCUAUAAUAUUUAUCACUACACAAAAUUACUUUAUUUCAGUGUUUUGUGUCUGUUUUAUCCCUCUCUCCCACCAGAAAAUGAGCUUCUAGAGUUUGGUUCUUUGUCUCUCUUGUUCUUCACAAUAUUCUUAGUGCCUAGAGCAAAGCCUGAUGCCUCACAAGUGCUCUAUAAAUGUUUGCUGACUGCCUGCCUGAUUCAACCAACAAAUGUAAUUGAAUAUCCACUGUCCACACAUCCUCAAAACAGACCCUUAACUUUUACUGUUAAGAGUGACCUAAGGACUAGAGAAAUCCACCUAAGUGAUUACCAAGGGGCUAAUGUCCAGUUCGUUUCUAAUGUUCAUUAUUAUCCACUUAAUUCACUGGAUCAACUGUUGUUUUUUUUUUCAUGCCUAGAAAAAUUUUUGGUUUGUUUUUGUAUUUACGCAUGGAGGAACUGAAGCUUGGCGAGAACAAGAGUGAAUUUUGGCCCAAGGUCACACAGAUGGAUGGGAGAAGAGAGAAAACAGAAAAGACAAUAGAAAAAGAAAAAAUGGGACAAGGUAUAUUUAUUAUACAAGUUCUCUCAUCCCUUACUUUCUUCUCUCCAUUUAUUUUUGAUACCACAAUCAUGAAUUUUCCUAUCCAAAUGGACUUCCAUAAUACUCUUUGAGGAAUGGCCUAAGAAUGCUACCUUCAAGCAGCCUGAUGACCACCGAACUUAGAAAUAUUUGGAGAAGUUGCAACAAAUUUUAUUUUGUCAAAGCUUACAUGAUUUCUCUUUGUGACAUUUUCUUCCCCGACAACCUAAAUGAAAUUGUAUAUUUCAAAGCUUUCAAGACAAAAUAAAAGUUUGAAAAUCCCUUGCAAGUUAGUACUGGUAAAUUCAUAGUUAUUUUAACUCUAUAAAGAAGUAAACAUCAUCACAUUCCUCAUGAAAAACUCCAGCAAGAGCCACUGGCACGGUUUGAAUAUAAACAACCAGCACUAAAUGACUUCAUCAAGCUACAAUCCCUGUGCUCAGCGAUUUAGAGGAAAUCAGCAGCUUAACCAAGGUUUAUUUUGUUUUUUUUUUUUUUCUUUUGCUGAGCAAUUGGGGGCCAAAAAUAAAACACUAUUACAUCAAACUGCAGACAAAUAAAAAUCUGAAUACAUUUGCUGUCUUCUCAGG
This 1322-nucleotide long non-coding RNA is filed under the name Homo sapiens (human). Its description in RNAcentral is "HSALNT0147254". The record is from RNAcentral. Lineage: Eukaryota; Metazoa; Chordata; Mammalia; Primates; Hominidae.